Molecule: small nuclear RNA, 159 nt
Filed under: Sorex araneus (European shrew)
Lineage: Eukaryota; Metazoa; Chordata; Mammalia; Eulipotyphla; Soricidae
Description: U1 spliceosomal RNA (ENSSARG00000015135.1)
Rfam family: U1 spliceosomal RNA
About the family: U1 is a small nuclear RNA (snRNA) component of the spliceosome (involved in pre-mRNA splicing). Its 5' end forms complementary base pairs with the 5' splice junction, thus defining the 5' donor site of an intron. There are significant differences in sequence and secondary structure between metazoan and yeast U1 snRNAs, the latter being much longer (568 nucleotides as compared to 164 nucleotides in human).
Source: RNAcentral
AUACCUGACAGAGGAGAUAAAAUAAUCACGUAGGUGUUUUUCCUAAAGUGAGGCUUACCCUUUAUACUCUGAAUGUGCUGACUCCUGUGAUUUCCCCAAGUGUGGGAAACACGAGGGCAUAGUCUUUAGUAAGUGGAGGAUGAAGUCACGCUUCCCCAU